GCAUUGCUAAAGAGUCCCACAAUAGGACGAAACGGCCGUCCAGUGU
RNAcentral lists this non-coding RNA (46 nucleotides) under Schistosoma mansoni. Lineage: Eukaryota; Metazoa; Platyhelminthes; Trematoda; Strigeidida; Schistosomatidae. The record is from RNAcentral.